This 464-nucleotide ribosomal RNA is filed under the name uncultured bacterium. Its description in RNAcentral is "partial 16S ribosomal RNA". It matches the Rfam family "Bacterial small subunit ribosomal RNA", at positions 338 to 795 of the family's 1533-position model. The record is from RNAcentral.
CCUACGGGUGGCAGCAGUGGGGAAUAUUGCGCAAUGGGCGAAAGCCUGACGCAGCGACGCCGCGUGAGGGAUGAAGGUCUUCGGAUCGUAAACCUCUGUCAGCAGGGAAGAACGGUCACUGUGCUAAUCAGCAGUGAAUUGACGGUACCUGCAAAGGAAGCACCGGCUAACUCCGUGCCAGCAGCCGCGGUAAUACGGGGGGUGCGAGCGUUAAUCGGAAUUACUGGGCGUAAAGCGCUCGUAGGCGGUAUGUCAAGUCAAGGGUGAAAUCCCCGCGCUCAACGUGGGAACUGCCUUGGAAACUGGCAAACUGGGGUGUGUGAGAGGAUAGUGGAAUUCCAGGUGUAGGAGUGAAAUCCGUAGAUAUCUGGAGGAACAUCAGUGGCGAGGGCGACUAUCUGGCACAUAACUGACGCUGAGGAGCGAAAGCGUGGGUAGCAAACAGGAUUAGAUACCGGGUAGUC